Hippocampus comes (tiger tail seahorse) is the source of this 344-nucleotide long non-coding RNA. RefSeq lists it as uncharacterized. The record is from RefSeq and is a predicted model, not a curated record. Lineage: Eukaryota; Metazoa; Chordata; Actinopteri; Syngnathiformes; Syngnathidae. The transcript has 3 exons.
CGAUUGCGUGCUGGGCGACACGUUGGGCGUCUGGAUAUCGAUCAUCUUGUGACCGUCAUCCUGCACGUAUGAGAUUGGUGAUCAGUCUGUUGUCCUCUGCCUUGUCGUCCAUUCGACUGAGGGAGAUCCCGGUGCUGGAGAGGGAUGACACCGUGCUGGACAAAGUGCUGGAUCUUACAAAGUGAGUUGAGAUGUAAAGCGGGAGUGGGGGUGCGGGGGAGAGAGGAAAAAAAGGAGACGUGGAAGGAGAAGUGAAGAAGAGAGAGGGCCAGCUGCAGAGUGGGCAGGUCUGUAGGGUGAGUAGGGAACGGGAGCGCUUUUAGAAUGAAGCAUUAUGCGAUUGA